RNAcentral lists this long non-coding RNA (398 nucleotides) under Ornithorhynchus anatinus (platypus). Its description in RNAcentral is "lncRNA (ENSOANG00000042859.1)". The record is from RNAcentral. Lineage: Eukaryota; Metazoa; Chordata; Mammalia; Monotremata; Ornithorhynchidae.
UAGGGAAGCAGUAGAGGGGCCAGGUAGCAGAAAAGGGAGACCCUCAGCCAUCUUGAGACAAGAGCCACUCCCAAGAAAGAGACGGUAAUCUAGUCCCUGAUGAUCCCUUCGCCUUCAGGGAUAUACCUGGACUAUAGUCAGAGGAUGGUGGCAGGUAUAAGGACUGGGGAUCACCCUGUCACACCCACAUCCAGACCCUGCGAGGUCCUGCUGACUGGGGUCUUUCUGUUUUGGAAACUAGGAACCCAUACUGCAGCCCUGCUCUCACUCCCCCAUCUGCCUGCCCCAUGGACUCCGUUCUGCAUUGACCCCUGUGAUUCUGAUCCCAAGGAACUCCAUCUAGAGGAAUGGCAAUCCAGCAGCCAAAGAAAAUAAUGAUGACUCCAUUUCAUUUGUUU